Oreochromis niloticus (Nile tilapia) is the source of this 1297-nucleotide long non-coding RNA. RefSeq lists it as uncharacterized. NCBI's taxonomy places the organism in Eukaryota, Metazoa, Chordata, Actinopteri, Cichliformes, Cichlidae. The transcript has 3 exons. The record is from RefSeq and is a predicted model, not a curated record.
CUGUUGGCGAUCAGCUGAUUCCCGACUAGUAUUUGAGGCUGGGCCACAGAUCUUUUCAUCGUUGGAUGAUUGUGCUACUGACUUUACCUUCCUGGACCUGUGACCUCCCAGCUGUACGAACGUGUGUGAGUUGGAUGUGAGGACGUGAGCGAGCGUGAGAGAGAGAGCCUUCCCCUAAUCCCUUGGAACCCUGGAUUUUUCCCCGUCACUGUAUAUAUUAUCGCACUGAAUGACAGCAACAUCAAGUGUUUCACGCAGCCAGGCUGCGACUCCAUUAACGGGAGAGUGGCCUUGUGUGGGAGUAGAGUUGCCAGACAAAAGAGAUAUCGGGAGGAAAUUAUAUUUUUACUGUAUGUGUGCAUACACAUUGUGUAAAAUGAUUAGCAUAAAGAGAAAUGGAGCAAGAGGUGCUGUACAUGAAUCAAAGAAAUGUGAGUAAUUAAAUGUCCUGAAAAACUGCAGAGUAUACCUGAACUAAUCUUUUACAAGCAUGAACAUCAUCAUGUCAAUAGUGUGUCUCGGAUCUCCAUUAAGAGUUAUUCGCCAAUCACAUGGUGUCUUUUUAAUUUGUAUACAUACAGACUGUAUGAUGACAUUUCCAUGUGUACCUUUUGCAAUUCCCAUGUCAUUUCCUGCGUGUACAAUAGGGCCUGAAGGUGUUGGAGUAUAGAUAGGGUCUAAAUAAACCUCUCAGCUCUGAGUGCUGGCUGCUUCCACAGAGAAAACCCAGCAGAAUGACCUCCUCGGGGGAUGAACGCACAACACAGCUCCUAUCUUAAUCCUCUCUCCUUUUUCUCUAUUGCUGCCUUCCUCUCUAAACUGCCUGUGUGUGUGUGUGUGUGUGUGUGUGUGUGUGUGUGUGUGUGUGUGUGUGUGUGUGUACGUGUGAGAGUGGUGCUGGUAUUACUGAGAAUGUGGGGACCUAAACCUUUUGAAACAGUGACUUUAUGGAAAUACAUUUUUUUCAUGAGAACAAAAAGCAAGUUUCUGUAACAUAAAUUUUACAUAAUGAAAAUAAGGUUACGUUUAUACUAAGGUUGGUUUUAGGAUGGGAAAUGCAUGUUAGUGUAAUGUGUGUGUGCGUGUGUGGUGGUGGUGGGGGGUCUGAUGCUAACAUCUUUACGUGAAAAUGUUAAAAUUAUAUAUGUAAUAUCUCUGUAACAAUGACGAUUUUUAUAGCUUGAUUUUUAAAAUGCAAGCAUCGACUGCGACAACAUCGGGGUUAUUAAGUGACAAAUGAGCUGUGUCCCACUGCUGCCGCUUUUUAUGAUCCUGCCAGUACUUCCUCCCCUCUGCC